AAGCGGAGGAAAAGAAACCAACAGGGAUUGCCUCAGUAACGGCGAGUGAAGCGGCAAAAGCUCAAAUUUGAAAUCUGGUACCUUUGGUGCCCGAGUUGUAAUUUGAAGAUAGUUUUCUGGUGCUGGCCCUUGUCUAUGUUCCUUGGAACAGGACGUCACAGAGGGUGAGAAUCCCGUCUGGCGGGGUGUCCAGUGCUUUGUAGAUUUCUAUCGACGAGUCGAGUUGUUUGGGAAUGCAGCUCUAAGUGGGUGGUAAAUUCCAUCUAAAGCUAAAUAUUGGCGAGAGACCGAUAGCGAACAAGUACAGUGAUGGAAAGAUGAAAAGAACUUUGAAAAGAGAGUGAAAAAGUACGUGAAAUUGUUGAAAGGGAAGGGUAUUAGAUCAGACUUGGUGUUUUGUGAUUAUCUUCCCUUCUUGGGUUGUGCACUCGCAUUUCACUGGGCCAGCAUCGGUUCGGGUGGUAAGAUAAUGACAUUGGAACGUGGCACUACCUUCGGGUGGUGUGUUAUAGCCCUUGUUGAUGUUGCCUACCUGGACCGAGGACUGCGGCUUUUGCCUAGGAUGCUGGCGUAAUGAUCUAACACCGCCCGUCUUG
Molecule: ribosomal RNA, 596 nt
Filed under: Williopsis saturnus
Lineage: Eukaryota; Fungi; Ascomycota; Saccharomycetes; Phaffomycetales; Wickerhamomycetaceae
Description: Cyberlindnera saturnus partial 26S ribosomal RNA
Rfam family: Eukaryotic large subunit ribosomal RNA
Source: RNAcentral